GAUGAACGCUGGCGGCGUGCCUAAUACAUGCAAGUCGAGCGAACGGACGAGAAGCUUGCUUCUCUGAUGUUAGCGGCGGACGGGUGAGUAACACGUGGAUAACCUACCUAUAAGACUGGGAUAACUUCGGGAAACCGGAGCUAAUACCGGAUAAUAUUUUGAACCGCAUGGUUCAAAAGUGAAAGACAGUCUUGCUGUCACUUAUAGAUGGAUCCGCGCUGCAUUAGCUAGUUGGUAAGGUAACGGCUUACCAAGGCAACGAUGCAUAGCCGACCUGAGAGGGUGAUCGGCCACACUGGAACUGAGACACAGUCCAGACUCCUACGGGAGGCAGCAGUAGGGAAUCUUCCGCAAUGGGCGAAAGCCUGACGGAGCAACGCCGCGUGAGUGAUGAAGGUCUUCGGAUCGUAAAACUCUGUUAUUAGGGAAGAACAUAUGUGUAAGUAACUGUGCACAUCUUGACGGUACCUAAUCAGAAAGCCACGGCUAACUACGUG
RNAcentral lists this ribosomal RNA (497 nucleotides) under uncultured bacterium. Its description in RNAcentral is "partial 16S ribosomal RNA". It matches the Rfam family "Bacterial small subunit ribosomal RNA", at positions 28 to 507 of the family's 1533-position model. The record is from RNAcentral.